GGAGGAUGCUGCUAUUAGGAUUCGAUUUAACCAUGCGAGUCACUGGUCCUCGUGGCCAGGGCGAACUGCCGAGUAACAUGUGGUUAAUCUGCCCUUGAGUCUGGAAUAAUCUCGGGAAACUGAGGAUAAUACCGGAUAUGAGAUUUGGUCUGGAACGAUAUUUCUCUUAAAGCUUCGGCGCUCAAGGAUGAGACUGCACUGGAUUAGGUUGAUGUUAGGGUAAAGUCCUACCAUGCCUAUAAUCCAUAGGGGCCGUGAGAGCGGGAGCCCCCGGACGGGUUCUGAGACACUAACCCGGGCCCUACGGGGCGCAGCAGGUGCGAAACCUCCACAAUGUACGAAAGUGCGAUGGGGGAAUCCUAAGUGCUGGCGCAAUGCGUCAGCUUUUCUCGAGUCUAAAUCGCUUGAGGAAUAAGUGGUGGGUAAGACCGCUGCCAGCCGCCGCGGUAAUAGCGGCGCCACAAGUGGCAUCCAUUUAUAUUGGGUUUAAAGCAUCCGUAGCCGGCCUGAUAAGUCUACUGUGAAAUCCUAUAGAAAACUAUAGGGCGUGCGGUAGAAACUAUUAUGGCUUGGGACCAGGAGAGGUCAGAGGUACUCCUAGGGUAGCGGUAAAAUGCUGUAAUCCUAGGGGGACCACCUGUGGCGAAGGCGUCUGACUGGAAUGGAUCCGACGGUGAGGGAUGAAAGCUAGGGGAGCGACCCGGAUUAGAUACCCGGUUAGUCCUAGCUGUAAACGAUGCUCACUUGGUAUUGGAGAUCUUUCGUGGAUUUCCAGUGCCGAAGGGAAACCGUUAAGUGAGCCACCUGGGGAGUACGGUCGCAAGGCUGAAACUUAAAGGAAUUGGCGGGGGAGCACUACAAGGGGUGACGUCUGCGGUUUAAUUGGAUAACACGCCGGGAACCUCACCAGGAGCGACAGCAGUAUGAUGGUCAGUCUGAAGGGCUUACCCGACGCGCUGAGAGGUGUUGCAUGGCCGACGUCAGCUCGUGCCGUGAGGUGUCCUGUUAAGUCAGGUAACGAGCGAGACCCAUAUCUUAUGUUGCCAGCCUUUCCUUCGGGGAGGGUGCACUCAUAAGAGAUUGCCCGUGAUAAAUGGGAUGAAAGUAUGGGCUACGUUAGGUCAGUAUGGCCCGAAUCUCCUGGGCUACACGCGGGCCCCAAUGGCAAGGACAAUGGGAUGCAACUCCGAAAGGAGAAGCAAAUCCCCUAAACCUUGUCUUAGUAUUGAUUGAGGAUUGCAACUCAUCCUCAUGACACCGGAAUCCCUAGUAGUCGAGUGUUAGCAUCGCUCGGCGAAUCUGUCCCUGCUCCUUGCACACACCGCCCAUCAAACCACCUGAAUUGGAUUUAGGUGAGGUCUUAUCCUUCGGGUAAGAUCGAACCCAGGUUCAGUAAGGGGGGUU
Molecule: ribosomal RNA, 1404 nt
Filed under: uncultured archaeon
Lineage: Archaea
Description: bacterial SSU rRNA
Rfam family: Archaeal small subunit ribosomal RNA
Source: RNAcentral